This 460-nucleotide ribosomal RNA is filed under the name uncultured bacterium. RNAcentral describes it as "partial 16S ribosomal RNA". It matches the Rfam family "Bacterial small subunit ribosomal RNA", at positions 338 to 795 of the family's 1533-position model. The record is from RNAcentral.
CCUACGGGAGGCAGCAGUGAGGAAUAUUGGUCAAUGGGCGCGAGCCUGAACCAGCCAUGUAGCGUGCAGGAUGACUGCUCUAUGGGUUGUAAACUUCUUUUGUAAAGGGGUAAAGUGCGAUACGUGUGCCUUUUUGAAUGUACUUUACGAAUAAGGAUCGGCUAACUCCGUGCCAGCAGCCGCGGUAAUACGGAGGAUCCGAGCGUUAUCCGGAUUUAUUGGGUUUAAAGGGAGCGUAGAUGGGUUGUUAAGUCAGUUGUGAAAGUUUGGGGCUCAACCCUAAAAUUGCAAUUGAUACUGGCAGCCUUGAGAAUAGUUGCGGUAGGCGGAAUGUAUGGUGUAGCGGUGAAAUGCUUAGAUAUCACAAAGAACACCGAUUGCGAAGGCAGCUUACUAAACUACCUCUGACGUUGAGGCACGAAAGCGUGGGUAUCAAACAGGAUUAGAUACCCUAGUAGUC